Molecule: ribosomal RNA, 119 nt
Filed under: Pteropus alecto (black flying fox)
Lineage: Eukaryota; Metazoa; Chordata; Mammalia; Chiroptera; Pteropodidae
Source: RNAcentral
GUCAACGGCCAUGCCACCCUGAACAAGCCCGAUCCCGUCUGAUCUCGGAAGCUAAGCAGGGUCAGGCCUGGUUAGUACUUGGACAGGAGACCACCUAGGAAGACCAAGUGCUGUAGGCG